GCGCAUGCGCGCGGGAAUUUCGAUGCUCAGUACACGUGAGAACUGCCUACGCUGAGAUACCCUCGGGAAACUGAGAAUAAUGCUCCAUAGCCCCUCCGUCCUGGAACGGUGGAGGGGUGAAAGCUCCGGCGGCGUAGGAUAGCUCUGCGGCCUAUCAGGUCGUAGCGAGGGUAACGUCCUCGCUAGCUUUCGACGGGUAUGGGUGUUGGGAGACAUCGCCCAGAGAUGGAUUCUGAGACACGAAUCCAGGUCCUACGGGACGCAGCAGGCGCGAAAACUGCACAAUGUGGGAAACCACGAUGCGGGAAACCCAAGUGCCAGCACUAUGUGUUGGCUGUCCUCGACUGUUCGUAAGUCGGGAAGAAAGUGCUGGGUAAGACGGGUGCCAGCCGCCGCGGUAAUACCCGCAGCACAAGUGGUGGUCAUUAUUAUUGGGCCUAAAGCGUCCGUAGCUGGCCUGUUAGAUGCCUGGGUAAAUCGAUGCGCUCAACGUAUCGAAUUCCGGGUAGACCGGCAGGCUCGAGACCGGGAGAGGUGUAGGCUACUCGCGGGGUAGGGGUAAAAUCCUGUAAUCCUGCGGGGAGGACCAGUGGCGAAGGCGCUACACUAGAACGGCUCUGACAGUGAGGGACGAAGCCCUGGGGCGCAAACCGGAUUAGAUACCCGGGUAGUCCAGGGUGUAAACGCUGCAGACUUGGUGUCGGUGAUCCUACGAGGGUUGCCGGUGCCGUAGAGAAGUUGUUUAGUCUGCCGCCUGGGGAGUACGGUCGCAAGACUGAAACUCAAAGGAAUUGACGGAAUCACUAGUG
RNAcentral lists this ribosomal RNA (809 nucleotides) under uncultured archaeon. RNAcentral describes it as "bacterial SSU rRNA". It matches the Rfam family "Archaeal small subunit ribosomal RNA", at positions 65 to 887 of the family's 1478-position model. The record is from RNAcentral.